RNAcentral lists this ribosomal RNA (2550 nucleotides) under Triticum aestivum (bread wheat). RNAcentral's name for it is "partial small subunit ribosomal RNA". The record is from RNAcentral. Lineage: Eukaryota; Viridiplantae; Streptophyta; Magnoliopsida; Poales; Poaceae.
AUGGUGAGAAAGAAUAAAAACCGUCACUCAAGUGGUGGUCGCGGAGGCAGGAUAGGUUCUGGGCCAUCAAGUACAGUCUCAUGCUCGAUUCCUGAACUCCAAAAAUUUGUUCCCGGCGAAAGCUUAAAGCGCCCUGGAUUCGUUUCUGCUGGUGAAAGCUAUAUUGUGAAGGCAAACCAUUUUAAACUAACUUAUAAUGAAACUCUUUGCCGAUAUCAUGUAUUAAUAGAUCCUAAGCCUACUUCAGCUGGUGAUGUCAUGAUACAACUUGCAAAGCUGUAUGGGCAAUCACGUUUGGGUGGUCGUCUUCCUGCAUAUGAUGGAAAGAAAAGCUUAUAUACAUCUCGUCCAUUUCCAUUUACUUGUGAGGCUUUUAAAGUAACACUACCUGACCAGGAAAAUAUUCUUUGUGGCCUCCCAAGGGGUAAGAGACAUUUUAGGGUCCAGAUAACAUUGGAUAAAGUUUUGUUCGGACGAAUUGAUGGUGAAGAAUUCUAUCAAGCAUUUAAUACUAUUCUACAUGAAUUGUUCCUUGGAAGGUAUUGCCUAGUUGGCCGGUCAUUUUAUAAAUCUCAACCUGGCGAGGGCUUGAAAAACUGCUGUGGUUUUUAUCAGACAAUACAAAACACACAGAUGGGAAUUUCAUUAAAUAUCGAUAUAUCCUGUAAACCAUUCAUCAAUCCUCUACCUGUGAUCAAUUUAGUUGCACUGCUUCUGAACAGGGACAUAUCAGAUGACCCCUUUGACUUUUGUGAACGGUUGAAGGUAAGUAAAGAUCUGUGUGAUGUAGAAGUUAAUUUCACACUUGAAAAAAAUGCGGACAAGAAAUAUCGUAUAACUGGCCUUACGUCACAAGGGUCAAGCCAACUACCUUGCCCAUGUGAUGAUAGUGGUACUGGGAAGACAGUAUUAGAGUACUUCAAGGAAACAUAUCGAUGUACUAUUCGGUCUCGUGUACCAUGUUUGAAAGUUCGUGAUCAAGAGAAGCCAACAACUUACCUACCAAUGGAGGUCUGUGAGAUUUCUGACGCAAAACAGAUAUCGUAUCUUCUUAGUGUCGCUUGCCAGCACCCUAUGGACCGUGAGAAGACCAUUUUACAGACAGUGAACCCAUACAAUGAGGACCCGUAUGCAAAGGAAUUUGGCAUAACUUUUGAGAACAAACUCACAAUAGUCAAGGGUCGUGUGCUACCUCCUCCUGUGCUCAAAUUUAAUGACCAAGGCAAAGUGAAGGAAUUCUUGCCAAAAGUUGGCAAGUGGAAUAUGCGGCUUAAGCAAAUGGUCAAGGGAGGAGAAGUUAACACCUGGGCAUGCAUUAACUUCGCUUCAGAUAUCACGCAUGCUGCUGCUGUGGCUUUCUGUGAUGAGUUGGCUGUGACGUGCCUAAUCUCUGGAAUGAACUUUAAGGGUGACCCUGUGCUCCCUCUAGUGAAUGCUAAACCUAAUCAUGUACGACCGUUUCUCAAGAAACAUUACCAACGUUUCAUGGCAAUACUCAGACCACUGCACAAAGAACUUGACCUGCUGAUUGUAAUACUGCCCGACAAGAAUGGCACUCUUUAUGGUGAUAUCAAAAGAAUAUGUGAGACAGAUCUUGGGCUAGUCUCUCAAUGUUGUCUUGCAAAGCAUGUUUUAAAGAUGAAACCACAAUAUCUUACAAAUAUUGCCCUUAAAAUCAACAUGAAGGUGGGGGGAAGAAAUACUGUACUUCUUGAUGCUGUGGUAGGGAAUCUCCCACGUGUUAGUAACACACCAACUAUUAUAUUUGGUGCCGAUGUCAGUCAUCCUCAUCAUGGAGAAGGACGUUCUAGUCCUUCUAUUGCAGCUGUUGUAGCUUCUCAAGACUGGCCGGAGGUUACCAACUAUGCUGGAUUAGUCCGGCGGCAAGCCCGUCAUGAAGAGAUUAUACAAGGCCUUUUUAACGAAAAUGAUUGUGGAAGUGGACGUAUAUCUGGUGGAAUGAUCAAAGAGCACCUCAUUUCUUUCAUGAGGUCGACUGGACAUAUACCCCGGAGGAUCAUAUUUUACAGGGAUGUUGUCAGCAAAGGACGGCUCAAUAUGGUUAUUGAGCAUGAACUUUCUGCCAUUAAAAAGGCAUGUGCGUCGCUGGAUCCUAUUUAUAAUCCACAAGUUACCAUUAUUAUGGUUCAGAAACAGCACCACACACGUUUGUUCGCUGGUAACUAUGGUGUUGGGAGCACAAUUUUUGAAAGUGGAAAUGUAUUGCCAGGUACUGUGGUUGAUAAAGAAAUAUGCCAUCCCACUGACUUUGAUUUUUACUUGUGUAGCCAUGCUGGCACUAAGGGAGUCAGCCGGCCUGUUCGUUAUCAUGUUCUCUGGGACGAGAACAAUUUUAUGGCCAACGCUUUGCUAAUUCUCACUAACCAUCUAUGCUAUACGGACGCGAGGUGCACCUCUUCUGUUUCAAUUGUGCCUCCUGUUCACUAUGCCCAUCUUUUGGCAUCGCGGGCUCGGCUCUAUAUUGGGUACAAGGGAAACCUACCUGAUAUCAAGGACAAUGUGAAAAAACGUGGCAUGUUCUUCUGCUAA